This 450-nucleotide ribosomal RNA is filed under the name uncultured bacterium. RNAcentral describes it as "partial 16S ribosomal RNA". It matches the Rfam family "Bacterial small subunit ribosomal RNA", at positions 354 to 796 of the family's 1533-position model. The record is from RNAcentral.
GUGGGGAAUAUUGGACAAUGGGCGAAAGCCUGAUCCAGCCAUGCCGCGUGUGUGAAGAAGGUCUUCGGAUUGUAAAGCACUUUAAGUUGGGAGGAAGGGCAUUAACCUAAUACGUUAGUGUUUUGACGUUACCGACAGAAUAAGCACCGGCUAACUUCGUGCCAGCAGCCGCGGUAAUACGAAGGGUGCAAGCGUUAAUCGGAAUUACUGGGCGUAAAGCGCGCGUAGGUGGUUCGUUAAGUUGGAUGUGAAAGCCCCGGGCUCAACCUGGGAACUGCAUCCAAAACUGGCGAGCUAGAGUACGGUAGAGGGUGGUGGAAUUUCCUGUGUAGCGGUGAAAUGCGUAGAUAUAGGAAGGAACACCAGUGGCGAAGGCGAUCACCUGGACUGAUACUGACACUGAGGUGCGAAAGCGUGGGGAGCAAACAGGAUUAGAAACCCCAGUAGUCC